GUUGUUGAGGAAGAUAAUGACGGUACUCAACAAGGAAGUGACGGCUAACUACGUGCCAGCAGCCGCGGUAAAACGUAGGUCACAAGCGUUGUCCGGAAUUACUGGGUGUAAAGGGAGCGCAGGCGGGAGAACAAGUUGGAAGUGAAAUCCAUGGGCUCAACCCAUGAACUGCUUUCAAAACUGUUUUUCUUGAGUAGUGCAGAGGUAGGCGGAAUUCCCGGUGUAGCGGUGGAAUGCGUAGAUAUCGGGAGGAACACCAGUGGCGAAGGCGGCCUACUGGGCACCAACUGACGCUGAGGCUCGAAAGUGUGGGUAGCAAACAGGAUUAGAUACCCUGGUAGUCCACACCGUAAACGAUGAUUACUAGGUGUUGGAGGAUUGACCCCUUCAGUGCCGCAGUUAACACAAUAAGUAAUCCACCUGGGGAGUACGACCGCAAGGUUGAAACUCAAAGGAAUUGACGGGGGCCCGCACAAGCAGUGGAGUAUGUGGUUUAAUUCGACGCAACGCGAAGAACCUUACCAAGUCUUGACAUCCCUUGACGAUGCUGGAAACAGUAUUUCUCUUCGGAGCAAGGAGACAGGUGG
Molecule: ribosomal RNA, 587 nt
Filed under: human gut metagenome
Description: bacterial SSU rRNA
Rfam family: Bacterial small subunit ribosomal RNA
Source: RNAcentral